This 2403-nucleotide long non-coding RNA is filed under the name Nicotiana tabacum (common tobacco). RNAcentral's name for it is "long non-coding RNA (NTAB_LNC000707)". The record is from RNAcentral. Lineage: Eukaryota; Viridiplantae; Streptophyta; Magnoliopsida; Solanales; Solanaceae.
CAGUUAUGGAGAAACCUGAAGAACCAGCAGUGGAAGAAAAACCUGAAGAACCAACAGUUAAAGAGGAACCUGAAAAAUCAGUGAUGGAAGAGAAACCUGAAGAACCAAUUGUUGAGGAGAAACUUGAAGAACCAACUGUUGAAGAGAAACCUGAAAAAUCACUGAUUGAAGAAACACCUGAAGAACCAAUAUGGGAAGAAACACCUAAAGAACUAGCAUUUGAAGAGAAACCAGAAGAACCAGCAGUUGAAGAGGAGAAACCUGAAAAGGUAACUCUUUUGGAAGAGGUGAGUAUCAAGCAUUAGCACAUAGUUUAUCCAUCAUGUUAUUUCUGUAUGUGCAUCGAUUCACAUCUGCUUAUCUAUUGAAAGUCUAAAUGAGACUUUAAAUUCUUCUUGCAGAAUAUACCAGCUGUAGAUUUCAACGACAAGACUGACCGUGAAAUUCCAUGCGAUACCAACAAUGAUAUUGCUGACUAUGCAACAGUUGAGGAAAAACCUGAAGAACCGGUAGUUGAAGAAAAACAUGAAGAACCUGCAAUUGAAAAGAAAUUUGAAGAAUCAACGGUUAUGGAGAAACCUGAAAAACCAGUGGUUAAGGUACAACCUGAAGAACCAGCAGUGGAAGAAAAAGUUGAAGAACCAACAGUUAAUGAGGAACCUGAAAAAUCAGCGAUGGAAGAGAACCCUGAAGAAUCAAUUGUUGAGGAGAAACUUGAAGAACCAACUGUUGAAGAGAAACCUGAAAAAUCACUGAUUGAAGAAACACCUGAAGAACCAAUAUGGAAAGAAACACCUAAAGAACUAGCAUUUGAAGAGCAACCAGAAGAACCAGCAGUUGAAGAGGAGAAACCUGAAAAGGUAUCUCUUUUGGAAGAGGUGAGUAUCAAGCAUUAUCACAUAGUUUAUCCAUCCUGUUAUUUCUGUAUGUGCGACGAUUCACAUCUGCUUAUCUAUUGAAAGACUAAAUGAGACUUUAAAUUCUUCUUGCAGAAUAUGCCAGCUGUAGAUUUCAACGACAAGACUGACUGUGAAAUUCCAUGCAAUACCAACAAUGAUGUUGCUGAAUAUGUAGCAAUUGAGGAAAACCUUGAAGAACCAGCAGUUGAAGAAAAACAUGAAGAACCAACAGUUGAGGAGAAACCUGAAGAACUAGCAGUUGAAGAGAAACCCGAAAAACCAACAAUUGAGGAGAAACAUGAAGAACCAAUAGUUGAGAAGAAACCUGAAGAACCAGUAGUUGAGGAGAAACCAGAAGAACCACUAAUUGAAGAGGAGAAAUCUGAAAGGGUAACUUUCCUAGAAAAGGUGAGGAUCAAGCAUUGUCAAAAGGUUUAUCCAUCUUAUUAGUUGUGUAUGUGCGACGAUUCACAUCUGCUUACUUAUUGAAAGACUAAGUGAAACUUCAAAAUUCUUGCAGAGUAUGCUAGUUGUAGACUCGAACGACAAGACUGACAGUGAAAUUCCAUGCAAUACCAACAAAGAUGCUGCCCACUUUCCCGAAGUUGAGGCAAACCCUGAAGAACCAGCAGUUGAAGGAAAACCUAAAGAACCCGUUGAUGAAGAGAAACCAGAUGUACCAGUGGUUGAGAAACCUGAAAAACAAAUGGUUGAGGAGAAACUUGAAGAACCAAUGAUUGAGGAGAAAUCUGACGAACUAGUCGAGGAGAAAUCUCAACAACCAGCGGCUGAAAAGAAACCUGAAGAACCAGCAGCUAAAGAAUCACUUAAAGAGCUAGCAGGGGAGGAAACAACUGAAGAACUAGCACUUGAAGAGAAACUUAGAGAACCAACAGUUGAAGAACUAGUUCUUGAAGAUAAACCUGAAAACCCAGAAAAUGAAGAGGAUAAACUUGAAACAGUAACUCUCCAGGAAAAGGUAAGAAACAAGCAGUGUCACAGAGUUUAUCCAUCCUAUUAGCUCUACAUAUGCAAUGAAUUCACAUCUGUUUAUCCACUGAAAGACUAAGUGAAACUUUAAAUUUUUCUUGCAGAAUUUACCAAUUGCAGACUCAAACGACAAGACUGACAAUGCAACUCCCUGCAAUAACAACAAUGAUAUUGCUGACUCUGCAGCAGUUAAGGAAAAAACUGAAGAACCAGUAGUUGAGGAAAAACAUGAAGAACCGGCAACUGAAGAGAAAUCUGAAGAAUCAGAAUUUAUGAAAAAAACUGAAGAACCAGCGGUUGAGGUAAAACCUGAAGAACCAUCAGUGGAAGAGAAGCCUGAAGAACCAGCGGUUAGGAAAAAUCCUGAAGAACCAGCAGUUAAUGAGGAACCUGCAAAAUCAGCAACGGAAGAGAAACCUGAAGAACCAAUUGCUGAGGAGAAACUUGAAGAACCAACUCUUAAAGAGAAACCUGGAAAACCAGUAAUUGAAGAAACACCUGAAGAACCAACACU